This 392-nucleotide ribosomal RNA is filed under the name uncultured bacterium. RNAcentral's name for it is "partial 16S ribosomal RNA". It matches the Rfam family "Bacterial small subunit ribosomal RNA", at positions 523 to 918 of the family's 1533-position model. The record is from RNAcentral.
AUACGGAGGAUCCGAGCGUUAUCCGGAUUUAUUGGGUUUAAAGGGUGCGCAGGCGGCCAUUUAAGUCAGCGGUUAAAUCGUGGGGCUCAACCCCAUUCUGCCGUUGAUACUGGGUGGCUUGAUUGCGGUCGAGGUUGGCGGAAUUCGUUGUGUAGCGGUGAAAUGCAUAGAUAUGACGAAGAACACCGAUUGCGUAGGCAGCUGACCAGACCGCAAAUGACGCGCAUGCACGAAGGUGCGGGGAUCGAACAGGAUUAGAUACCCUGGUAGACCGCACAGUAAACGAUGAAUACUUGUUUUCGGCGAUAUAAUGUCGGAGGCAAAGCGAAAGCGAUAAGUAUUCCACCUGGGGAGUACGCCGGCAACAGUGAAACUCAAAUGAAUUGACGGGG